RNAcentral lists this transfer RNA (71 nucleotides) under Ameiurus melas (black bullhead). It matches the Rfam family "tRNA". From Rfam's summary of the family: Transfer RNA (tRNA) molecules are approximately 80 nucleotides in length. Their secondary structure includes four short double-helical elements and three loops (D, anti-codon, and T loops). The record is from Rfam by way of RNAcentral. Lineage: Eukaryota; Metazoa; Chordata; Actinopteri; Siluriformes; Ictaluridae.
GCAUUGGUGGUUCAGUGGUAGAAUUCUAGCUUGCCAUGUUGGAGACCUGGGUUUGAUUCCCAGCCAAUGCA